RNAcentral lists this long non-coding RNA (741 nucleotides) under Capsicum annuum. RNAcentral describes it as "long non-coding RNA (CANN_LNC007542)". Lineage: Eukaryota; Viridiplantae; Streptophyta; Magnoliopsida; Solanales; Solanaceae. The record is from RNAcentral.
GGCAAUAGCACACCGAUUUGGCUCAAAAACUCCCCGUUCGCACCAUUUCGCCUGUUUGUCCAUCCAAAAGGCCAUGAAAAUUUAAACAGACCAUACUGGAUGAUCCCUAACCUCCCUGGCACGACUCAGACGAUUUUUGGCCAACAGCACCCCUGGACCCUAGGCCCACCCCCAUAACUGUGGGCUUUAGCACACCAAUUUGCCCCGAAAAUGCCCCAUUCGCGCCGUCUCGCCCGUUAGUCCACCUUAAUGGCCACGAAAAUUUAAAUGGACCACACUGAAAUGAUCCCUAACCUCUCUGACAUGUCCUGUCAAUUUUUGGAUCACAGCACUCCCGGAUCCUAGGCCUACCCUCAAUACUGUGGGCUAUAGCACACCGAUUUGGCCCAAAAAUAUCUCAUUCGCGCCAUUUCGUAUGUUUGUCCACCCAAAUAAUCACGAAAAUUUAAAAUAAAAACAUCAGUACGAUCCCCAACCUCCAUGGCAUGCUUCGCUUAAUUUUUGGACUAUGGCACGCCCAAACCCGGGACCACGCCCAAAACCAUGGGCUAUUGCACGCCGAUUUGUUUCAAAAAUGCCCCAUUUGUGCCGUUUUGCCUGUUUGUCCACCUAAAUAACCACAAAAAUAUAAACGAACCACAUUGGGAUGAUCCAAACCUCUUUGGCAUGAUUCGGUCGAUUUUUGGCCCAGAGCACGCCUAAGCCCCAGGCCCACCCCCAAAACCAUGGGCUAUAGCACAC